UGCGGAAGGAUCAUUAUUGAAAUUAUAGGUGAGGGUUGUAGCUGGCCUCUCGGGGCAUGUGCACGCCCGAGCCCUUAAUCCACACACACCUGUGAACCUAUUGUAAGGGCCCUUAAAAAAGGCCUUUACGUCUUAUCAUCAACCCAUCGUAUGUCUCAUAGAAUGUAAAUAUAUGUCCUCGCCUUAAAAAGCGUUGAUAAACUUAUACAACUUUCAACAACGGAUCUCUUGGCUCUCGCAUCGAUGAAGAACGCAGCGAAAUGCGAUAAGUAAUGUGAAUUGCAGAUUUUCAGUGAAUCAUCGAAUCUUUGAACGCACCUUGCGCUCCUUGGUAUUCCGAGGAGCAUGCCUGUUUGAGUGUCAUUAAAUUCUCAACUCCGAUCGAUUUGUUUCGACUUCGGAGCUUGGAUUUGGAGCGUGCUGGCGUCGGUCGGCUCCUCUUAAAUGCAUCAGCGGAAUCUAACGUUUCGGACGUCAGUGUGAUAAUCANGUUGCGCUGUCUGUCUGAUCCGAAAGCCCGCUCAC
Molecule: ribosomal RNA, 525 nt
Filed under: Piloderma fallax
Lineage: Eukaryota; Fungi; Basidiomycota; Agaricomycetes; Atheliales; Atheliaceae
Description: eukaryotic LSU rRNA
Rfam family: 5.8S ribosomal RNA (bases 209-363)
Source: RNAcentral